AAAAUUUUAUUUAAGGUAGAUUUUGGAAGAUUUCUAAUCUUCUUAUAAGUGUACUUACAUUUAU
This 64-nucleotide transfer RNA is filed under the name Eophreatoicus karrkkanj. Its description in RNAcentral is "tRNA-Ser". Lineage: Eukaryota; Metazoa; Arthropoda; Malacostraca; Isopoda; Amphisopidae. The record is from RNAcentral.